This 495-nucleotide ribosomal RNA is filed under the name uncultured bacterium. RNAcentral describes it as "bacterial SSU rRNA". It matches the Rfam family "Bacterial small subunit ribosomal RNA", at positions 903 to 1397 of the family's 1533-position model. The record is from RNAcentral.
AAAGGAAUUGACGGGGGCCCGCACAAGCGGUGGAUUAUGUGGUUUAAUUCGAAGCAACGCGCAGAACCUUACCUAGGCUUGAAAUCCUACGAAUCUGGAGUAAUGUCCGGAGUGCCCGCAAGGGAAUGUAGUGACAGGUGCUGCAUGGCUGUCGUCAGCUCGUGUUGUGAAAUGUUGGGUUAAGUCUCGCAACGAGCGCAACCCCUAUCUUUAGUUGCCAGCAUUCAGUUGGGCACUCUAGAGAGACUGCCCGGGUUAACCGGGAGGAAGGUGGGGAUGACGUCAAGUCCUCAUGGCCCUUAUGCCUAGGGCUACACACGUAAUACAAUGGUGCAUACAGAGGGAAGCGACCCAGCGAUGGUGAGCAAAUCUCAAAAAGUGCAUCUCAGUCCGGAUUGGAGUCUGCAACUCGACUCCAUGAAGUUGGAAUCGCUAGUAAUCGUGGAUCAGCGUGCCACGGUGAAUACGUUCCCGGGCCUUGUACACACCGCCCGU